This 492-nucleotide ribosomal RNA is filed under the name uncultured bacterium. Its description in RNAcentral is "partial 16S ribosomal RNA". It matches the Rfam family "Bacterial small subunit ribosomal RNA", at positions 29 to 507 of the family's 1533-position model. The record is from RNAcentral.
AGUGAACGCUGGCGGUAGGCCUAACACAUGCAAGUCGAACGGCAGCACAGUAAGAGCUUGCUCUUACGGGUGGCGAGUGGCGGACGGGUGAGGAAUACAUCGGAAUCUAAUUUUUCGUGGGGGAUAACGGAGGGAAACUGACGCUAAUACCGCAUACGACCUACGGGUGAAAGCAGGGGAUCUUCGGACCUUGCGCGAUUGAAUGAGCCGAUGUCGGAUUAGCUAGUUGGCGGGGUAAAGGCCCACCAAGGCGACGAUCCGUAGCUGGUCUGAGAGGAUGAUCAGCCACACUGGAACUGAGACACGGUCCAGACUCCUACGGGAGGCAGCAGUGGGGAAUAUUGGACAAUGGGCGCAAGCCUGAUCCAGCCAUACCGCGUGAGUGAAGAAGGCCUUCGGGUUGUAAAGCCCUUUUGUUGGGAAAGAAAAGCAGCAGGUUAAUACCCCGCUGUUCUGACGGUACCCAAAGAAUAAGCACCGGCUAACUUCGUG